AGCCUGCCUUGAUGGCUUGGGACUCUGGACUUUACAGAACUUGCUGGCAGAAUUCUUUUCCUGUGCCCAACUGAAAGAAGACGAAGCAAUACCACCCCCUCCCCCCCCAGGGAUCUGCUUGCGGCCAGGAUGACGCCCUUGGUUCUCCCGCCAACCUCGUCGCCUGUGCUCUGCCAGGAGUGGUGAGAAUUAUAACCCUCCUGGGCUACGGGCCCUCCUCUCCCUCUAGAAUGACAAGAAAUUAAAGCCGUAAAGCUUAACCGACUUGCCCCAAUGAACUCAGCGAGGAAGUGGCAAACCACGGAUUUGAAGCAGGUGGUCUAACUCCAUGAGCCACACAUACACCUACUUGCUAAAUGCCUUCUCAUAGAUUAGCAGAGAUUCCACUCAAACUGUUUAUCUGUUCAGAACAGAUAUCUCUAUACAGAAGAUCUUUGCCUGGGGCCCUUCCCAUCCAAGGACUGGACCUAUCACAGCGUAGCCGGUGGCUGCGGCGGCCAUUCUUCACUUUUUCAAGUAUUGUCCCCCUCCCUGUAAAGAAGAGGAAGCAGAGGUCCGCAGAGGUCGAUCAGCUCGCCCGUGAUUCCGCGGCUGCUGGACGGUGGGGCAGGGACGCAGACUCCAGUGAGCUGUGUUCUGAGGCUGGGGCUCUAACCCCUGUGCUCCCUUGGCCAUGUGGCCAACUCCAAGGGCACCUUGGAUGACUGCAGGGCACCCCCCCCCCCAAUCAUCUGUGCUCCAUACACUGCUGACAUUCUGAACACGGCUCUUGCUUUUCAAAUGACUUAAAUGGUCUUUAAUUUUUUUUUUCCCUGCAUGGCACUUGUAAAUCCGCAGUGCCCCCAUAUUUUGCACUUUCUCUCCUGCCUCCUCCUGACGCUAUGUCCUUUGGACUGAUACUGAUACCCAGUCCAGAUUUGUCACAGGAUGAUGGAAAUACUCCAGAGCAUUAACUUUGGCUUUAUGUGAACACUAGGGACUGUGAACAACUAAGAAUGUUCUCUCAAAUGGCACGGGUACUAUCCAGAUUGCUGGGGGUGGUGCUGAGGUUAGCUGUGAGGAGGAGGCGGCACAGGCAUGUGGGCAGGGAAGCAAAAUGUGUUAAGUCUUCUAUUAUGGGGUCAGCCCACCCAGUGUGGUCACCCUCCCCACCACCGAUUUCAAGAACGAGAACCCGAGGGAAGUUGGGCCGUGACUAAGAAGCUAGUGCCCUCUCCACAAGACCACAGGGAGAGAUGGUCUUGUUGCUCCGGUCGGAUGAACCUGGUUCAUGUCAUCAGAGAAGAUUCCAGAACACCACAGUGUUAGUGGUGAACUCACACUCCUCUGUGUGAGUUCAGCAGUCAGUCCACGUUGGAGACAGUGUCUAUAAAGGAAAGUGCGUUGACUUUGGAGUCUACUGCUGUGGGCUGGAAUCCCAGCCUUGCUAGUAUAGGAGGGGUGUGACCCUGUGGAAGUUCCCCAAACCCUCUGUGCCUCGGUUUCCUCAUCUGAAGAGCGGAGAUAAUUUCUUCCUCAGAUGACUAUCGUGAGGACUGAAGGAGAUGAUGCCAGGAGAGCGUCUGGUACAGAUUAUGCCGUGGGUACUUGUACCCUUUCUGUCUGAGACUGGCUUCCUGGGGGUGACUGAGACCAUGGGCUGGCUCUCCCCGGUGUCACUUCAAAACUUUAGACAGCUCUCUCCCACCUAUAUGCAGUUUGUU
Long non-coding RNA from Mustela erminea (ermine), 1703 nucleotides. RefSeq lists it as uncharacterized. Lineage: Eukaryota; Metazoa; Chordata; Mammalia; Carnivora; Mustelidae. The record is from RefSeq and is a predicted model, not a curated record. The transcript has 4 exons.